This 2744-nucleotide long non-coding RNA is filed under the name Pongo abelii (Sumatran orangutan). Its description in RNAcentral is "lincRNA". The record is from RNAcentral. Lineage: Eukaryota; Metazoa; Chordata; Mammalia; Primates; Hominidae.
ACCCACGCGGCGCAGCUCCCAAAGUUGCAGACAGCCGGGCAAACCGCGCAAUGCGCUUCUUCUGCCCGCCGCAGAGAAAAGGAAAGAAAACUCCGCAGGGGCUCCGUUGGCUUCUCCACGAGUGACAACCAUGCUUUCCCAGAUAGAAGACCGGAGCCCUGCUCCUUUGCGAUCCGCCGAGGGCUGCAAAGAGCAUCCUCAUCCAUUUGGGCACCCCUGCCCAGGAAGAGCCCGGCCAUCCCUUUCCAGACUGGAUCCUUCAGAGGUGAAUUUUCUUCGGUGGAUUCCGAUUUGCUCCGUCUGACCAACCUAGGCAAUCCAGCAUCGCGUGGUACCAGUGCCGCUGGGCACACUCGCUUCACGCCGGCUCCGCCUUACCAGCAAGCGCAUUCCCAGGUGGUCAGGCUCAGGAUGGACCAUGAGCUUUCAAAAAGGAAAAAGGUGGAAAUCCUCAACUAUGCUGCCAUCUGAAUAAGUGUUUCUUUGUAGAUACACAGAGUCAAGGAAAAUUACAUCCCUGCAUUAUGUAAUGUACCAACAACGCACUUACCCACUGUUUUAAUCUAGGUUAUUCUUGAAAGCAGAGCCUGAGACAAAGGUAGACACAUUCUAUUUAUGAGUCUAACACCCAGGAGCAGGAAUGAGAGAUAAGGGAGUGAACAUGGGGAAAAGGGAAACUAAGUCCAAGCAAAACCAGAUACUGCUCUUAUCAAGUGGUCUACCCCUCUUAAUGGCUACAUAAUGCGAAACUUUCUCAGCAUUCUUCUUAAACUUUAUCUCAGAACUGUCUGCCUCAGGGAGAAAGGAGAAGUAUUUCUCCAUCAGCAGCCACCUCCUGUGUGUUGAGGGCUGCUCCUUUGGGGCAUUAACCCACCGCCCCCAUCACCCCAUCCCUCUGGGCUGCACAGAGCUAGCUGAAAGCCCAGCUGGUACCUUAGCAUCACACAUUGCUGCAUCAGAGAGGUCUUAAGACAGGAAGCUAGAGUCUUGGUGCGUGCUCGAAGUGAGACAGUGUCAGCACAGAGCAGGUUAAAAUCUUCCGUAACUGUUCACCAGAGCUAUGACUGGAAUCAGAGGUUGAAAAGAUGUGAGACCGUACUCAAGAAGCAUCUUAUAAGCCUAUGUAACAUACUGUUAGACUCAUCGAAAUCUAUUUCCUUCCUUCUUUAUAAUAAAAACUUAAGUGUCCAGAAUAAAGUUGGCAGAAGGGUUAAAUAGGAAAGCUAAAUGUACUAGAAGGUGUACAUUUAUAAGUUUUAACCUUGAGUCAUGUUCAAAGAGAAAGUGACAUUGGAACUCGAAAAAUUUAAAAAAUGAUUUUACUUGAAAAAUUUGAACAUUGCAUAGAAAUAUUAGCUAUCGUCUAAUCUUUUGUAAUCUCAGAAACAGUCGUGAAUUGUUUGGUGAAAAAUGAAAAAAUUAACCAUUUCUUAUGUCUCCGUGACCUUUAUAGACCAAUGUCACUAACUUUUCCUAAGAUAAUUGUUUCCUACUGUCAAAUAGCUCUAGUGAUAUAAAUCUUACAACCAAUGAAGGGAAAACUGGUAGAAACAUAGGAAGAAAAAUACUGGGAUAAUUUUCAUCACAUAAAGUGUUGGCAUUAACAUUGGUUAGAAUAGGGGAGAAACUGCAUGACUUGACAACUGGACAUUCCUGUAUGUUGUGUGAGGCCCUAUCUUAACAGAAAUAGUGAUGUCAUCAUCAUCCUCUCUUAUUUGGUCUUGAAUUGCCACCAAUAGGAUAAAACCUUUGAAUUAUUUAACUCAGUAUAUGUUAAGUUUCUACUAUGUGCUAUGUAUUGAUACUAUAAAUAUGAAUAAGACAUAAAAUAUUACAUUCAAAAACAUCAGAAUACAUGUUCUUUCAAAGUAUACCCCAAAACAUUUACCACGUGUUCUGGGGCGCAUGUUAGGCUGGAUCACAAAUCAAGUCUCAAGAAAUUUCAAAAGACUGAAAUCAUAUAGAGUGUGAAUUAAACCAGAAAUCAAGUACAUAAAGGUAACAAAAAAUUUCCUAAAUGCAUUGAUUUAAGGAACAUACACCUCAUGACCCAUGAGCCAAAAAAUAAAUCACAGCAAAAUUGCAAAAAUAUUUUCAAAUUAAUUUUAAAGAAAAUACUUAGCACAUUAAAUACUUAGCAUAUUAAAGCUCUAAGUACAUAUGUUAGAAAUUUUACCAAAGGGUUGGCUAUCAGUGUUUCCAGAAGCCAGGGAGAAAGUUUAUACAACUUGAUCGCUGAGGCAGGGAAACAAAGUGAGACCUCCGAUUGCCCUGCCCUUCCGAGGUCAGCACUCUGGAUCCCAUCGCAGGAGAUCAGGGUCUUGCUGAGUUGAGGAGAGGAAGAUUGGAGUUGAGACUGAGAUAGCUUGAAUUUUCAGGACAAAGUAUCAACAAGGAGGAAGGUAGACAAAGAAAAAAAACCCAGAAAUCUACGUACAGACCCCAUUGUGUACAUCGUGGAACACAGCCUAACAAUCCUCAAAAUUAGCGUGAGAUUGGGAAAUACCUAAUUUCCAUUCAGCCACAGUGGAGAGUCCUGACUGAAAACCAGGCACUUGCCGAAGAUCCCAGAAAGGUUACGUGUUAUAUACGUAGGGCUAAACUAUCCUGACUAAAAACUACACUACACUUGCUCCCCACCCACACAAAAAGCUUAAAAACAAGCCUCAAUAGUAUAAAGCUGAUCUGUAAGUAACUAAACUACCUGACAGAACAAAGUCCAAAUUUAUUAGUUCCAAUCCUCC